GAAGAUUGUAUGGGGGCUUCAUUAUUGGAGUCAGAGAGCGCUUUCAUAGCUCAUAGUGGGAGGCUUCCGGUGCCCCCAGAAGAGAGGGGAGGGGCUUCGCUAUCAGCAAGAGAACGACGCAGACUAAAGAAAGAACAAGCCAAUAUGUGGCCUCCAUCAGCAGACUCCCCACCAGAGCAGAACCUCAGCGUGAGGAUCCAGAUGAGGAGGCGGAGCUACAACACACACCCCACAGGUGUGUGUGAGGACAGACUGGACUCAGAGGAAAGUGUUGCUCAGCUACCAUGGUUACGCUCGGAGUCUGCAGCCAAUCAGAGAAGCCAGCAAAAGGAAUGGAAGCAGG
Sardina pilchardus (European sardine) is the source of this 343-nucleotide long non-coding RNA. RefSeq lists it as uncharacterized. The transcript has 4 exons. NCBI's taxonomy places the organism in Eukaryota, Metazoa, Chordata, Actinopteri, Clupeiformes, Clupeidae. The record is from RefSeq and is a predicted model, not a curated record.